ACCCCCUCCAGCCUCGCUGGGAGAUGGGCGCCGGGGACCGCCGUCCCCGCGCCUCGAAUCGGAAGGCCGAGCGUGUUCGCCGGAGCGUCGUGAUACGACCGCCGCCACCGGUGCUCGCGCGCGAGCCUGAGAACCCACAUCAAU
This 144-nucleotide unclassified non-coding RNA is filed under the name uncultured Ascomycota. RNAcentral's name for it is "sequence contains ITS2". The record is from RNAcentral. Lineage: Eukaryota; Fungi; Ascomycota.